AAGAGACAGCAGUCGCCGCGGGAAUACAGAGGGUGCGAGCGUUAAUCGGAUUUACUGGGCGUAAAGCGUGCGUAGGCGGCUUCUUAAGUCGGAUGUGAAAUCCCUGAGCUUAACUUAGGAAUUGCAUUCGAUACUGGGAAGCUAGAGUAUGGGAGAGGAUGGUAGAAUUCCAGGUGUAGCGGUGAAAUGCGUAGAGAUCUGGAGGAAUACCGAUGGCGAAGGCAGCCAUCUGGCCUAAUACUGACGCUGAGGUACGAAAGCAUGGGGAGCAAACAGGAUUAGAUACCCGAGUAGUCCCUGUCUCUUAUAA
This 310-nucleotide ribosomal RNA is filed under the name uncultured bacterium. RNAcentral's name for it is "partial 16S ribosomal RNA". It matches the Rfam family "Bacterial small subunit ribosomal RNA", at positions 503 to 809 of the family's 1533-position model. The record is from RNAcentral.